RNAcentral lists this transfer RNA (69 nucleotides) under Ictidomys tridecemlineatus (thirteen-lined ground squirrel). RNAcentral's name for it is "Spermophilus tridecemlineatus (thirteen-lined ground squirrel) tRNA". It matches the Rfam family "tRNA". From Rfam's summary of the family: Transfer RNA (tRNA) molecules are approximately 80 nucleotides in length. Their secondary structure includes four short double-helical elements and three loops (D, anti-codon, and T loops). Further hydrogen bonds mediate the characteristic L-shaped molecular structure. tRNAs have two regions of fundamental functional importance: the anti-codon, which is responsible for specific mRNA codon recognition, and the 3' end, to which the tRNAs corresponding amino acid is attached (by aminoacyl-tRNA synthetases). tRNAs cope with the degeneracy of the genetic code in two manners: having more than one tRNA (with a specific anti-codon) for a particular amino acid; and 'wobble' base-pairing, i.e. permitting non-standard base-pairing at the 3rd anti-codon position. Lineage: Eukaryota; Metazoa; Chordata; Mammalia; Rodentia; Sciuridae. The record is from Rfam by way of RNAcentral.
GGGGCUAUAGCUCAGUGGUAGAGCACUUGCCUUGCAUGUGUGAGGCCCUGGGUUCAAUCCCCAGCACCA